RNAcentral lists this ribosomal RNA (518 nucleotides) under uncultured bacterium. RNAcentral describes it as "bacterial SSU rRNA". It matches the Rfam family "Bacterial small subunit ribosomal RNA", at positions 791 to 1315 of the family's 1533-position model. The record is from RNAcentral.
UAGUCUACGCCGUAAACGAUGGUUACUAGCUGUUUGGAAUUUAUUCUGAGUGGCUAAGCGAAAGUGAUAAGUAACCCACCUGGGGAGUACGUUCGCAAGAAUGAAACUCAAAGGAAUUGACGGGGGCCCGCACAAGCGGUGGAGCAUGUGGUUUAAUUCGAUGAUACGCGAGGAACCUUACCAGGGCUUAAAUGUAGAUUGACAGGUUUAGAGAUAGACUUUUCUUCGGACAAUUUACAAGGUGCUGCAUGGUUGUCGUCAGCUCGUGCCGUGAGGUGUCAGGUUAAGUCCUAUAACGAGCGCAACCCCUGUUGUUAGUUGCCAGCGAGUAAUGUCGGGAACUCUAACAAGACUGCCGGUGCAAACCGUGAGGAAGGUGGGGAUGACGUCAAAUCAUCACGGCCCUUACGUCCUGGGCCACACACGUGCUACAAUGGUAGGUACAGAGAGCAGCCACUUAGUGAUAAGGAGCGAAUCUAUAAAACCUAUCUCAGUUCGGAUCGGAGUCUGCAACUCGA